Molecule: ribosomal RNA, 254 nt
Filed under: uncultured bacterium
Lineage: Bacteria
Description: partial 16S ribosomal RNA
Rfam family: Bacterial small subunit ribosomal RNA
Source: RNAcentral
UACGUAGGACCCAAGCGUUAUCCGGAAUUACUGGGCGUAAAGAGUUGCGUAGGUGGUUUGUUAAGCGGGCAGUGAAAUCGUGUGGCUCAACCAUACACACAUUGUCUGAACUGGCAAACUUGAGUGAGAUAGAGGUAACUAGAAUUCCAAGUGUAGGAGUGAAAUCCGUAGAUAUUUGGAGGAAUACCGAUGGCGUAGGCAGGUUACUGGAUCUCAACUGACACUAAGGCACGAAAGCGUGGGGAGCAAACGGG